AACGAACGCUGGCGGCAUGCCUAACACAUGCAAGUCGAACGAAGUCUUCGGACUUAGUGGCGCACGGGUGCGUAACGCGUGGGAAUCUGCCCUUGGGUGCGGAAUAACUUCUCGAAAGGGAUGCUAAUACCGCAUAAUGUCGUAAGACCAAAGAUUUAUCGCCCAAGGAUGAGCCCGCGUAAGAUUAGCUAGUUGGUGGGGUAAAAAGCCUACCAAGGCGACGAUCUUUAGCUGGUCUGAGAGGAUGAUCAGCCACACUGGGACUGAGACACGGCCCCAGACUCCCUACGGGAGGCAACAGUGGGGAAUAUUGGACAAUGGCGAAAGCCUGAUCCAGCAAUGCCGCGUGAGU
RNAcentral lists this ribosomal RNA (352 nucleotides) under uncultured bacterium. RNAcentral describes it as "bacterial SSU rRNA". It matches the Rfam family "Bacterial small subunit ribosomal RNA", at positions 29 to 406 of the family's 1533-position model. The record is from RNAcentral.